GACGAACGCUGGCGGCGUGCUUAACGCAUGCCAGUCGAACGGAAAGGCCCUGCUUUUGUGGGGUGCUCGAGUGGCGAACGGGUGAGUAACACGUGAGUAACCUGCCCUUGACUUUGGGAUAACUUCAGGAAACUGGGGCUAAUACCGGAUAGGAGCUCCUGCUGCAUGGCGGGGGUUGGAAAGUUUCGGCGGUUGGGGAUGGACUCGCGGCUUAUCAGCUUGUUGGUGGGGUAGUGGCUUACCAAGGCUUUGACGGGUAGCCGGCCUGAGAGGGUGACCGGCCACAUUGGGACUGAGAUACGGCCCAGACUCCUACGGGAGGCAGCAGUGGGGAAUAUUGCACAAUGGGCGGAAGCCUGAUGCAGCAACGCCGCGUGCGGGAUGACGGCCUUCGGGUUGUAAACCGCUUUCGCCUGUGACGAAGCGUGAGUGACGGUAAUGGGUAAAGAAGCACCGGCUAACUACGUG
RNAcentral lists this ribosomal RNA (468 nucleotides) under uncultured bacterium. RNAcentral's name for it is "partial 16S ribosomal RNA". It matches the Rfam family "Bacterial small subunit ribosomal RNA", at positions 28 to 507 of the family's 1533-position model. The record is from RNAcentral.